GGCCAUACUACCACCAGGGUCAUUAAACUACCCCUAGAAAUGCCCAAACCGCCUACGAAAGCCUUGUCAAAUCCACUUUCAUGGGUCUUAACAUACUUGCCUUUCUCUUAAUCGGGUUUUAAUGCAUGUUCCCUUAGGUUCAUGGUACAGAAGAAUGGCCACACCACCACCAGGGUCAUUAAACUACCCCUAGAAAUGCCCAAACCACCUACGAAAGCCUUGUCAAAUAUAUAUGUGUGCUUGGGCGCCGGGGAGGAACACAGCAGACCCAUUUUGUCAUCAAUCUUAACCUCUUGUAGCAGGAACUCGGAGACGCUUGCCACAUUAAUAGAACGAUGGCAAAUUCUCUUCCUUCAACUUAAUAUCAACUAGAGUAGAAAUGCAACGUUUUGGAGCCUUCUGAUUAAUGUAAAAUCACCUAGGUUUAAGGACAGACCACCAAGUCUGGACCAUGGGGUCUGUGUGGUCUGAUUUUCUAUGUAAUUCUCUCUCUCUCUCUC
Long non-coding RNA from Eriocheir sinensis (Chinese mitten crab), 500 nucleotides. RefSeq lists it as uncharacterized. The record is from RefSeq and is a predicted model, not a curated record. The transcript has 2 exons. Lineage: Eukaryota; Metazoa; Arthropoda; Malacostraca; Decapoda; Varunidae.